This 664-nucleotide small RNA is filed under the name Pongo abelii (Sumatran orangutan). RNAcentral's name for it is "processed transcript". The record is from RNAcentral. Lineage: Eukaryota; Metazoa; Chordata; Mammalia; Primates; Hominidae.
AUCUAAAGAAUCCACAGCACGUGUUGUAGUUUGGAGGGAAAUAGGAGUACAAAGAAGUUAUACCAUGGAGAGUACUUUAUGUGGCUGUGAUCAGGGAAAAUACAAGGGUUUACAAAUUGGUACUCGAGAACUGGAAGAGAUGGGAGCAAAAUUUUGUGUUGGUCUUUUACGUUUGAAAAGACUGACCUCUCCAUUGGACUAUAAUCUGCCUUCCAGCCUGCUUGACUUUGAAAAUGAUUUAAUUGAAUCAAGCUGCAAAGUAACUAGGAACCUUGGCAGCUCUGAACUUCAGUUUUUGCCUCCAAUCCUUUGAAAUUGCUGAAAACUCUGAUGACUUCUCUGCCUCUAACAGCUGCCCUUGCUUGGCCUGGGUUCCACUGGACUUUGCCCCACGCACCUUUUUUUCUUUGCUGAUUUUGCUUUGUAUCCUUUCACUGUAAUAAGUCAUAACUGAAUUCAACUGUGUGCUGAGUCCUGUGAGUCUUCCUAGCAAAUCACUAACCCUGUGGUGGUCUUGGGACCCCUGAUAAGCAUGUUCAUUCUGAAUUUCUGUAAAGGUUGGUUAUCUAGAUUCUAAUGUUCUACUGAGAGUGAUCAGAGAUAGAUGGUAUUGUGAUCCUUUUAUGGAUGUGUGCAGCUGAGGCUCAGAGAGAGAAAUUUACCU